Molecule: long non-coding RNA, 251 nt
Filed under: Capsella rubella
Lineage: Eukaryota; Viridiplantae; Streptophyta; Magnoliopsida; Brassicales; Brassicaceae
Description: long non-coding RNA (CRUB_LNC003297)
Source: RNAcentral
UUAUUUAUAUUUUGGGUUCAUUUCUGGCUUUGGUUUAUUUGGUUCUAUAAAUCAAAAUCGGAAACCUCUUGCUCUAGUGGCUAAACAAGAACUUUUUUUUUUUUUUUUAAUUAAAAACAAGAACUUAUUGACACCACAACACGUUUUGGGUGAAAUAAUCGUCAUUUGUUUGGUUGGUUACGUAAUUAUCUAUAGUUCUAUCUUGUGAAAUUUCCAAUAUAUAUAUAUAUAUAUAUAUAUACCAUAUGUCG